AGUGAACGCUGGCGGUAGGCCUAACACAUGCAAGUCGAACGGCAGCACAGUAAGAGCUUGCUCUUACGGGUGGCGAGUGGCGGACGGGUGAGGAAUACAUCGGAAUCUACUUUUUCGUGGGGGAUAACGUAGGGAAACUUACGCUAAUACCGCAUACGACCUACGGGUGAAAGCAGGGGAUCUUCGGACCUUGCGCGAUUGAAUGAGCCGAUGUCGGAUUAGCUAGUUGGCGGGGUAAAGGCCCACCAAGGCGACGAUCCGUAGCUGGUCUGAGAGGAUGAGCAGCCACACUGGAACUGAGACACGGUCCAGACUCCUACGGGAGGCAGCAGUGGGGAAUAUUGGACAAUGGGCGCAAGCCUGAUCCAGCCAUACCGCGUGGGUGAAGAAGGCCGUCGGGUUGUAAAGCCCUUUUGUUGGGAAAGAAAAGCAGCAGGUUAAUACCCCGCUGUUCUGACGGUACCCAAAGAAUAAGCACCGGCUAACUGCG
This 490-nucleotide ribosomal RNA is filed under the name uncultured bacterium. RNAcentral's name for it is "partial 16S ribosomal RNA". It matches the Rfam family "Bacterial small subunit ribosomal RNA", at positions 29 to 505 of the family's 1533-position model. The record is from RNAcentral.